Molecule: long non-coding RNA, 239 nt
Filed under: Capsicum annuum
Lineage: Eukaryota; Viridiplantae; Streptophyta; Magnoliopsida; Solanales; Solanaceae
Description: long non-coding RNA (CANN_LNC004671)
Source: RNAcentral
UCACAGCCAAACCUCUCCGGUGGGAAUCUUAUGGUAUUAAAAUCUUCCUAACACCAAAGGUAUAUCCCACCUCCCCAUCUCAUAUCUUAACUCCUCCCAAAGGGACUCUUUUGACCCUCUAUAGGUCCAUAAAUACCCCUUAAAUCCCCACUUCAUCCCCUUAUUAAUGUAUCUAAAUCGGACCCCUAACACGAGCUCCCAUUUGUUAGCCCUUACAUUCCAACUUCUUAUUAUCCCCG